This 539-nucleotide ribosomal RNA is filed under the name Bifidobacterium bifidum. Its description in RNAcentral is "bacterial SSU rRNA". It matches the Rfam family "Bacterial small subunit ribosomal RNA", at positions 157 to 707 of the family's 1533-position model. Lineage: Bacteria; Bacillati; Actinomycetota; Actinomycetes; Bifidobacteriales; Bifidobacteriaceae. The record is from RNAcentral.
CGGGUGGUAAUGCCGGAUGUUCCACAUGAUCGCAUGUGAUUGUGGGAAAGAUUCUAUCGGCGUGGGAUGGGGUCGCGUCCUAUCAGCUUGUUGGUGAGGUAACGGCUCACCAAGGCUUCGACGGGUAGCCGGCCUGAGAGGGCGACCGGCCACAUUGGGACUGAGAUACGGCCCAGACUCCUACGGGAGGCAGCAGUGGGGAAUAUUGCACAAUGGGCGCAAGCCUGAUGCAGCGACGCCGCGUGAGGGAUGGAGGCCUUCGGGUUGUAAACCUCUUUUGUUUGGGAGCAAGCCUUCGGGUGAGUGUACCUUUCGAAUAAGCGCCGGCUAACUACGUGCCAGCAGCCGCGGUAAUACGUAGGGCGCAAGCGUUAUCCGGAUUUAUUGGGCGUAAAGGGCUCGUAGGCGGCUCGUCGCGUCCGGUGUGAAAGUCCAUCGCUUAACGGUGGAUCUGCGCCGGGUACGGGCGGGCUGGAGUGCGGUAGGGGAGACUGGAAUUCCCGGUGUAACGGUGGAAUGUGUAGAUAUCGGAAAAGAAC